This 440-nucleotide ribosomal RNA is filed under the name uncultured bacterium. Its description in RNAcentral is "partial 16S ribosomal RNA". It matches the Rfam family "Bacterial small subunit ribosomal RNA", at positions 338 to 795 of the family's 1533-position model. The record is from RNAcentral.
CCUACGGGAGGCAGCAGUGGGGAAUAUUGCACAAUGGGGGAAACCCUGAUGCAGCGACGCCGCGUGAGUGAAGAAGUAUUUCGGUAUGUAAAGCUCUAUCAGCAGGGAAGAAAAUGACGGUACCUGAUUAAGAAGCCCCGGCUAACUACGUGCCAGCAGCCGCGGGAAUACGUAGGGGGCAAGGGUUAUCCGGAUUUACUGGGUGUAAAGGGAGCGUAGACGGCAGCACAAGUCUGGAGUGAAAUGCCGGGGCUUAACCCCGGAACUGCUUUGGAAACUGUGCAGCUAGAGUGCAGGAGAGGUAAGUGGAAUUCCUAGUGUAGCUGUGAAAUGCGUCGAUAUUAGGAGGAACACCAGUGGCGAAGGCGGCUUACUGGACUGUAACUGACGUUGAGGCUCGAAAGCGUGGGGAGCAAACAGGAUUAGAUACCCUAGUAGUC